Non-coding RNA from Gossypium raimondii (Peruvian cotton), 125 nucleotides. NCBI's taxonomy places the organism in Eukaryota, Viridiplantae, Streptophyta, Magnoliopsida, Malvales, Malvaceae. The record is from Rfam.
AAUGGGAGAAUGACAAAUCAGAUUUUUUUUCCUGAUUUUUAGCUUUUUCUUCUUGAAAAAAUUCAAAUCCAACUAAAACUACUAAAAAUUAGGAGAGAAAAAAUAUGAUUUGUCAUUCUCCAAUU